UACGGAGGGGGCAAGCGUUAUUCGGAAUUAUUGGGCGUAAAGGGCGCGUAGGCGGCUAGAUGUGUCAAAGGUGAAAUCCCUCGGCUCAACUGAGGAACUGCCUUUGAAACUGUCUGGCUUGAGGCCGGGAGAGGGUAGCGGAAUUCCCAGUGUAGCGGUGAAAUGCGUAGAUAUUGGGAGGAACACCAGUGGCGAAGGCGGCUACCUGGACCGGCAUUGACGCUGAGGAGCGAAAGCUAGGGGAGCAAACGGG
RNAcentral lists this ribosomal RNA (253 nucleotides) under uncultured bacterium. Its description in RNAcentral is "partial 16S ribosomal RNA". It matches the Rfam family "Bacterial small subunit ribosomal RNA", at positions 524 to 776 of the family's 1533-position model. The record is from RNAcentral.